Long non-coding RNA from Drosophila albomicans, 1294 nucleotides. RefSeq lists it as uncharacterized. Lineage: Eukaryota; Metazoa; Arthropoda; Insecta; Diptera; Drosophilidae. The record is from RefSeq and is a predicted model, not a curated record. The transcript is spliced from 3 exons.
ACAAUUGUCAUAGCAACUAUUAUGUUCGACAAAUAGUUUAAGAACACGAUAAUUUUUUAAUUUGAAAUAUUUUUAAUUUUUAAAAAAGUUUAUCAACUAUAACGCAGUUCAUGACUAAUUGGAUUAAUAUAGAAAGCAAAUUAGACCAUUUUUUCAAUUCUAAAAUAUACCAAAUAUUACAAUUCGGUAUUUGGCAAAAUGGGUUCCAAAGAUAACCAAGAUGAAAUGUUUUCGAAAUAUGUAUGUGUUGCGGUCACACUUAGUGCUUGCACCGGCAAAAAAUUCUUAGAGCCCAAGAAGGAAAAGGAGAUCCAGCAUGCCCACGAAAUAUUGUCUCCUCGCCGUUGGAGACCCGGCUCUCGGGCAUGGAGGAGCAUGCGAUCUUUAUAUCUUUAUGUUGCCAAAAAAGUCACUUCCGCGUUUACUGAGCUUAGUCAUCUGACGUUGCCCAAUGCGGCCAUGGACUGCAGAUUUGCUUGGAGAUAUUGAGCAAACAUGGCACGACGGUGCGGUUUGUCAUAACCGAUCACGAAAUGUUAUUGAGGGGUUUCCCCAGUGGUAAUUUGUAUUAAUAUACGAGUAAGUUGUGACUGAUGCUGGAUACGGGCGAUGCUAUCAUGUCGUUGUCCAGGGACGUGGAGCAUAUGGGUCACAAGUUUCUCCUGCUUAGCAGCAGGCGAACAGACAAAACAUUGUCAGUCUGGGUGCCGCUGUCGAAAUCGAUCCUAAGAGCUGGCAACAGACGGCAAAAGUUUGGAUCCUGCAGAACUAUACAAAGCAUUUACGUACGGCUCCGUGAAACUAUGACGCAUCUUCCUCGACAGCUUCUUCAAUAGCUAGGAAUGUUGCAAAAGCCAUCAUUCCGUGCCCAAGUACGAGUUGAUGAACUGCGUGCUGAAUUCGCUGAAGCCUCGUAAACAAUAUAAUCACAUUUACAAUGAGUAUGAGAAUCGAACUUUGUGAUGCCUUCUGACGAUGAGCUACCACAAUCCUCAAAUCUGCGCUAUGCACUAUCCACCCGAGAGCCACCAAAGCCGACAAGCAAGCGCAAAGAGAGAGUUCAACAGCGAGCAAGAGAUCGAAGAAUUAGGGUCUGAAUCAUUUUCGUUGUCCGCUAUUCCAACGACAUCCGAGUCGAAGCAGGUCAGGAAGCGGAGCCUGCAACGGAUCACGAGGCGGAAAAGGAACUAGAGUCGCAGCGGGAGGCAGAACAGAAAGUUGAGCAGCUGCAAAGGGAAGUGUAUAAUUCCAUGAAGAUGGUUGCGCUCAAAAGCAACAGCAGCAACAACAAAUU